CUACCUGGUUAAAUAAAGGUGUUCUCAACUGGCCUACCUGGUUAAAUAAAGGUGUUCUCAACUGGCCUACCUGGUUAAAUAAAGGUGUUCUCAACUGGCCUGCCUGGUUAAAUAAAGGUGUUCUCAACUGGCCUACCUGGUUAAAUAAAGGUGUUCUCAACUAGCCUACCUGGUUAAAUAAAGGUGUUCUCAACUAGCCUACCUGGUGAAAUAAAGGUGUUCUCAACUGGCCUCCCUGGUUAAAUAAAGGUGUUCUCAACUAGCCUACCUGGUUAAAUAAAGGUGUUCUCAACUAGCCUACCUGGUUAAAUAAAGGUGUUCUCAACUAGCCUACCUGGUUAAAUAAAGGUGUUCUCAACUGGCCUACCUGGUUAAAUAAAGGUGUUCUCAACUAGCCUACCUGGUUAAAUAAAGGUGUUCUCAACUAGCCUACCUGGUG
This is a long non-coding RNA of Oncorhynchus tshawytscha (Chinook salmon), 439 nucleotides long. Lineage: Eukaryota; Metazoa; Chordata; Actinopteri; Salmoniformes; Salmonidae. The record is from Ensembl.